This 424-nucleotide ribosomal RNA is filed under the name Planococcus massiliensis. RNAcentral describes it as "bacterial SSU rRNA". It matches the Rfam family "Bacterial small subunit ribosomal RNA", at positions 347 to 765 of the family's 1533-position model. Lineage: Bacteria; Bacillati; Bacillota; Bacilli; Caryophanales; Caryophanaceae. The record is from RNAcentral.
GGCAGCAGUACGGAAUCUUUCCCCAAUGGACGCAAUUUUGACGGAGCAACGCCGCGUGAGUGAAGAAGGUUUUCGGAUGGUAAAACUCCGUUGUGAGGGAAGAAACCGUUCCAAGUAAAUACUGGUACCUUGACGGUACCUCCCCAGAAAGCCACGGCUAACUACGUGCCAGCAGCCGCGGUAAUACGUAGGUGGCAAGCGUUGUCCGGAAUUAUUGGGCGUAAAGCGCGCGCAGGCGGUCCUUUAAGUCUGAUGUGAAAGCCCACGGCUCAACCGUGGAGGGUCAUUGGAAACUGGAGGACUUGAGUGAAGAAGAGGAAAGUGGAAUUCCACGUGUAGCGGUGAUAUUUACAGAUGUGGAGGAACACCAGUGGCGAAGCGACUUUCUGGUCUGUAACUGACGCUGAAGGGGCAAAAAGACUUU